GGGGUUGUCGCUCAGUGGUAGAGCACUCGCUUAGCACGUGCGCGCCCUGGAUUCAAUCCUCAGCACCGCA
This 70-nucleotide transfer RNA is filed under the name Marmota monax (woodchuck). Its description in RNAcentral is "tRNA.Ala". Lineage: Eukaryota; Metazoa; Chordata; Mammalia; Rodentia; Sciuridae. The record is from RNAcentral.